UCCAGACUCCUACGGGAGGCAGCAGUGGGGGAUAUUGCACAAUGGGGGAAACCCUGAUGCAGCAACGCCGCGUGAGUGAAGAAGUAUUUCGGUAUGUAAAGCUCUAUCAGCAGGGAAGAGAAUGACGGUACCUGACUAAGAAGCCCCGGCUAACUACGUGCCAGCAGCCGCGGUAAUACGUAGGGGGCGAGCGUUAUCCGGAUUUACUGGGUGUAAAGGGAGCGUAGACGGCUGGUCAAGUCUGAAGUGAAAGCCCGGGGCUUAACCCCGGAACGGCUUUGGAAACUGAGCAGCUAGAGUGCUGGAGAGGUAAGCGGAAUUCCUAGUGUAGCGGUGAAAUGCGUAGAUAUUAGGAGGAACACCAGUGGCGAAGGCGGCUUACUGGACAGUAACUGACGUUGAGGCUCGAAAGCGUGGGGAGCAAACAGGAUUAGAUACCCUGGUA
Molecule: ribosomal RNA, 445 nt
Filed under: uncultured bacterium
Lineage: Bacteria
Description: bacterial SSU rRNA
Rfam family: Bacterial small subunit ribosomal RNA
Source: RNAcentral